AGAGUUUGAUCCUGGCUCAGGAUGAACGCUGGCGGUCUGCUUAACACAUGCAAGUCGAACGCAGUACUUCGGUACUGAGUGGCGGACGGGUGAGUAACGCGUGAGAAUCUGCCUAGAGGUCGGGGACAACCAUUGGAAACGAUGGCUAAUACCGGAUAUGCCUUACGGGGUGAAAGAUUAAUCGCCUUUAGAAGAGCUCGCGUCUGAUUAGCUAGUUGGUGAGGUAAAAGCUCACCAAGGCAGCGAUCAGUAGCUGGUCUGAGAGGAUGACCAGCCACACUGGGACUGAGACACGGCCCAGACUCCUACGGGAGGCAGCAGUGGGGAAUUUUCCGCAAUGGGCGAAAGCCUGACGGAGCAAGACCGCGUGAGGGAGGAAGGCUCUUGGGUUGUAAACCUCUUUUGUCAGGGAAGAACACAAUGACGGUACCUGACGAAUCAGCAUCGGCUAACUCCGUGCCAGCAGCCGCGGUAAUACGGAGGAUGCAAGCGUUAUCCGGAAUUAUUGGGCGUAAAGCGUCCGCAGGUGGCUUAUCAAGUCUGCGGUCAAAGACCGGGGCUUAACCCUGGAAAGGCCGUGGAAACUGAUAAAGCUAGAGUACCGUAGGGGUAGAGGGAAUUCCCGGUGUAGCGGUGAAAUGCGUAGAGAUCGGGAAGAACAUCGGUGGCGAAAGCGCUCUACUGGACGGUGACUGACACUCAGGGACGAAAGCUAGGGGAGCGAAUGGGAUUAGAUACCCCCGUAGUCC
Molecule: ribosomal RNA, 749 nt
Filed under: uncultured cyanobacterium
Lineage: Bacteria; Bacillati; Cyanobacteriota
Description: bacterial SSU rRNA
Rfam family: Bacterial small subunit ribosomal RNA
Source: RNAcentral